Molecule: long non-coding RNA, 594 nt
Organism: Ailuropoda melanoleuca (giant panda)
Lineage: Eukaryota; Metazoa; Chordata; Mammalia; Carnivora; Ursidae
Exons: 2
Source: RefSeq, a predicted model, not a curated record
UGCGUCUGUGAGGUGCACGGCUCUGAAGUUUCUCCCGCUGUGCACCAGUUGGCACAGGUCCACACAGCCAGCACUCAGACCAGAUCUUCCAGCUCAGCCCAGCACUCCACGUCUGCCACGUUCAAGGAUUUCUGAGCUCGUAUCUGGGACAACAGAAGGUCCACUGCCAGAAAUUAGCACCCCAUAAAUUCUGCGAAAAUCAAGAAAGGGGAGGCGAGAAGGGAAACCUACUAUUUCACAGCAAUUAGGGGAAGAAAUUGGCAAUUACAGACUCCAGCAGGUGAAUACACAAGAGGAAAGAAUCCUCAGUUACAGGCUCUGACAGGGAAAGAUGUACACUGCCUCUCCUACGUGAAAUUGCAACUCAACCAAUGAGAAACCAUCAUCACCCUGAACUCUUGCUCUUCUCCAAUGGACUUUCCUUCAAAACAACCCCUGCCAACUUCCUCCUUCUUCCCCAUAAAAAAAUUCCUCUCCUUUGUUUAUUGGACUUGUCUAUGGUUUUACCAUAGCUUGUGUAUCCCAAGUUGUAAUUCUCUGCUAUUCCUGAAUAACUCCUUUUGCUGGUAAAAUAAAUGGCUAUUUUAUUUUUUA